Molecule: ribosomal RNA, 439 nt
Filed under: uncultured bacterium
Lineage: Bacteria
Description: partial 16S ribosomal RNA
Rfam family: Bacterial small subunit ribosomal RNA
Source: RNAcentral
CUACGGGCGGCACCAGUGAGGAAUAUUGCACAAUGGGGGAAACCCUGGUGCAGCAACGCCGCGUGGAGGAUGACGCAUUUCGGUGUGUAAACUCCUUUUAUGAGUCAAGAAAAUGACGGUAGCUCAUGAAUAAGCACCGGCUAACUCCGUGCCAGCAGCCGCGGUAAUACGGAGGGUGCAAGCGUUACUCGGAAUCACUGGGCGUAAAGGACGCGUAGGCGGGAUGUCAAGUCAGGUGUGAAAUCCUAUGGCUCAACCAUAGAACUGCACUUGAAACUGGCAACCUAGAGUAUGGGAGAGGGAGAUGGAAUUAGUGGUGUAGGGGUAAAAUCCGUAGAUAUCACUAGGAAUACCGAAAGCGAAGGCGAUCUCCUGGAACAUUACUGACGCUAAGGCGUGAAAGCGUGGGGAGCAAACAGGAUUAGAUACCCUCGUAGUC